This 574-nucleotide ribosomal RNA is filed under the name Saccharomyces cerevisiae (brewer's yeast). RNAcentral describes it as "LSU rRNA". It matches the Rfam family "Eukaryotic large subunit ribosomal RNA", at positions 56 to 645 of the family's 3401-position model. Lineage: Eukaryota; Fungi; Ascomycota; Saccharomycetes; Saccharomycetales; Saccharomycetaceae. The record is from RNAcentral.
GAAGUCAGACAACCGGGAUUGCCUUAGUAACGGCGAGUGAAGCGGCAAAAGCUCAAAUUUGAAAUCUGGUACCUUCGGUGCCCGAGUUGUAAUUUGGAGAGGGCAACUUUGGGGCCGUUCCUUGUCUAUGUUCCUUGGAACAGGACGUCAUAGAGGGUGAGAAUCCCGUGUGGCGAGGAGUGCGGUUCUUUGUAAAGUGCCUUCGAAGAGUCGAGUUGUUUGGGAAUGCAGCUCUAAGUGGGUGGUAAAUUCCAUCUAAAGCUAAAUAUUGGCGAGAGACCGAUAGCGAACAAGUACAGUGAUGGAAAGAUGAAAAGAACUUUGAAAAGAGAGUGAAAAAGUACGUGAAAUUGUUGAAAGGGAAGGGCAUUUGAUCAGACAUGGUGUUUUGUGCCCUCUGCUCCUUGUGGGUAGGGGAAUCUCGCAUUUCACUGGGCCAGCAUCAGUUUUGGUGGCAGGAUAAAUCCAUAGGAAUGUAGCUUGCCUCGGUAAGUAUUAUAGCCUGUGGGAAUACUGCCAGCUGGGACUGAGGACUGCGACGUAAGUCAAGGAUGCUGGCAUAAUGGUUAUAUGC